UGAAUACGAGAUGCUACGGCGUCGAAGCAGUGUAUGUCAGACUUCCAAGAAAAGCUCGCAAUGUCAUAAAUAAAGAAUGCCUGUACCAUAACCGACACAGGUGGGUAGGUAGAGUAUACUAAGGGGCGCGAGAUAACUCUCUCUAAGGAACUCGGCAAAAUAACUCCGUAACUUCGGGAGAAGGAGUGCCUUCUAUUAGAAGGUUGCAAUAACAAGAUCCAAGCAACUGUUUAUCAAAAACACAGGUCUCCGCUAAGUCGUAAGACGAUGUAUGGGGGCUGACGCCUGCCCAGUGCCAGAAGGUUAAAGAAGUUGGUUAGCUUUGGCGAAGCUGAUGACUGAAGCCCUGGUGAACGGCGGCCGUAACGAUAACGGUCCUAAGGUAGCGAAAUUCCUUGUCGGGUAAGUUCCGACCCGCACGAAAGGCGUAAUGAUUUGGAUACUGUCUCGGAGAGGGACUCGGUGAAAUAGACUUGUCUGUGAAGAUGCGGACUACCUGCACCAGGACAGAAAGACCCUAUGAAGCUUUACUGUAACUUGAAAUUGAAAUUGGACUUUAUUUGCGCAGCAUAGGUGGAAGGCGUUGAGAUUACUCUUGCGGGAGUACUGGAGCCAUCAGUGAGAUACCACUCCUAUAAUGUUAGAUUUCUAACUUUGGAUCAUGAUCUGGUCAAAGAACAGUUUCAGGCGGGCAGUUUGACUGGGGCGGUCGCCUCCCAAAUGGUAACGGAGGCGUACAGAGGUUUCCUCUGAACGGGUAGAAAUCGUAUCUAGAGUGUAAAGGCAUAAGGAAGCUUGACUGUGAGACCUACAAGUCGAGCAGGGACGAAAGUCGGUCUUAGUGAUCUGACGGUGCUGAGUGGAAAGGCCGUCACUCAACGGAUAAAAGUUACUCUAGGAUAACAGGCUGAUCUCCCCCAAGAGUUCACAUCGACGGGGAGGUUUGGCACCUCGAUGUCGGCUCAUCGCAUCCUGGGGCGGUAGUACGUCCCAAGGGUUGGGCUGUUCGCCCAUGAAAGCGGUACGCGAGCUGGGUUCAGAACGUCGUGAGACAGUUCGGUCCAUAUCCGGUGUAGGCGUUAGAAUAUUGAGAGGAGCCUUCUUUAGUACGAGAGGACCGAGAAGGACAUACCUCUGGUGUACCAGUUAUCGUGCCAACGGUAAACGCUGGGUAGCUAUGUAUGGAGAGGAUAACCGCUGAAAGCAUCUAAGUGGGAAGCCCACCUCAAGAUGAG
Molecule: ribosomal RNA, 1235 nt
Filed under: metagenome
Description: bacterial LSU rRNA
Rfam family: Bacterial large subunit ribosomal RNA
Source: RNAcentral